RNAcentral lists this ribosomal RNA (1714 nucleotides) under Escherichia coli. RNAcentral's name for it is "partial 23S ribosomal RNA". It matches the Rfam family "Bacterial large subunit ribosomal RNA", at positions 1 to 1758 of the family's 2925-position model. Lineage: Bacteria; Pseudomonadati; Pseudomonadota; Gammaproteobacteria; Enterobacterales; Enterobacteriaceae. The record is from RNAcentral.
GUUAAGCGACUAAGCGUACACGGUGGAUGCCCUGGCAGUCAGAGGCGAUGAAGGACGUGCUAAUCUGCGAUAAGCGUCGGUAAGGUGAUAUGAACCGUUAUAACCGGCGAUUUCCGAAUGGGGAAACCCAGUGUGUUUCGACACACUAUCAUUAACUGAAUCCAUAGGUUAAUGAGGCGAACCGGGGGAACUGAAACAUCUAAGUACCCCGAGGAAAAGAAAUCAACCGAGAUUCCCCCAGUAGCGGCGAGCGAACGGGGAGCAGCCCAGAGCCUGAAUCAGUGUGUGUGUUAGUGGAAGCGUCUGGAAAGGCGCGCGAUACAGGGUGACAGCCCCGUACACAAAAAUGCACAUGCUGUGAGCUCGAUGAGUAGGGCGGGACACGUGGUAUCCUGUCUGAAUAUGGGGGGACCAUCCUCCAAGGCUAAAUACUCCUGACUGACCGAUAGUGAACCAGUACCGUGAGGGAAAGGCGAAAAGAACCCCGGCGAGGGGAGUGAAAAAGAACCUGAAACCGUGUACGUACAAGCAGUGGGAGCACGCUUAGGCGUGUGACUGCGUACCUUUUGUAUAAUGGGUCAGCGACUUAUAUUCUGUAGCAAGGUUAACCGAAUAGGGGAGCCGAAGGGAAACCGAGUCUUAACUGGGCGUUAAGUUGCAGGGUAUAGACCCGAAACCCGGUGAUCUAGCCAUGGGCAGGUUGAAGGUUGGGUAACACUAACUGGAGGACCGAACCGACUAAUGUUGAAAAAUUAGCGGAUGACUUGUGGCUGGGGGUGAAAGGCCAAUCAAACCGGGAGAUAGCUGGUUCUCCCCGAAAGCUAUUUAGGUAGCGCCUCGUGAAUUCAUCUCCGGGGGUAGAGCACUGUUUCGGCAAGGGGGUCAUCCCGACUUACCAACCCGAUGCAAACUGCGAAUACCGGAGAAUGUUAUCACGGGAGACACACGGCGGGUGCUAACGUCCGUCGUGAAGAGGGAAACAACCCAGACCGCCAGCUAAGGUCCCAAAGUCAUGGUUAAGUGGGAAACGAUGUGGGAAGGCCCAGACAGCCAGGAUGUUGGCUUAGAAGCAGCCAUCAUUUAAAGAAAGCGUAAUAGCUCACUGGUCGAGUCGGCCUGCGCGGAAGAUGUAACGGGGCUAAACCAUGCACCGAAGCUGCGGCAGCGACGCUUAUGCGUUGUUGGGUAGGGGAGCGUUCUGUAAGCCUGUGAAGGUGUGCUGUGAGGCAUGCUGGAGGUAUCAGAAGUGCGAAUGCUGACAUAAGUAACGAUAAAGCGGGUGAAAAGCCCGCUCGCCGGAAGACCAAGGGUUCCUGUCCAACGUUAAUCGGGGCAGGGUGAGUCGACCCCUAAGGCGAGGCCGAAAGGCGUAGUCGAUGGGAAACAGGUUAAUAUUCCUGUACUUGGUGUUACUGCGAAGGGGGGACGGAGAAGGCUAUGUUGGCCGGGCGACGGUUGUCCCGGUUUAAGCGUGUAGGCUGGUUUUCCAGGCAAAUCCGGAAAAUCAAGGCUGAGGCGUGAUGACGAGGCACUACGGUGCUGAAGCAACAAAUGCCCUGCUUCCAGGAAAAGCCUCUAAGCAUCAGGUAACAUCAAAUCGUACCCCAAACCGACACAGGUGGUCAGGUAGAGAAUACCAAGGCGCUUGAGAGAACUCGGGUGAAGGAACUAGGCAAAAUGGUGCCGUAACUUCGGGAGAAGGCACGCUGAUAUG